UGCGUAGGGUGCGAGCGUUGCCCGGAUUUACUGGGCGUAAAGCGCUUGUAGGCGGCUUCGUAAGUUGGGCGUGAAAGCUCCGGGCUUAACCCGGAGAGGCCGUCCAAUACUGCGGAGCUCGAGGGUGCCAGAGGAAGGUGGAAUUCCUGGUGUAGCGGUGAAAUGCGUAGAUAUCAGGAGGAACACCCGUGGCGAAGGCGGCUUUCUGGGGCAUUCCUGACGCUGAGAAGCGAAAGCUAGGGGAGCAAACAGG
This 253-nucleotide ribosomal RNA is filed under the name uncultured bacterium. RNAcentral describes it as "partial 16S ribosomal RNA". It matches the Rfam family "Bacterial small subunit ribosomal RNA", at positions 524 to 776 of the family's 1533-position model. The record is from RNAcentral.